RNAcentral lists this ribosomal RNA (425 nucleotides) under uncultured bacterium. Its description in RNAcentral is "partial 16S ribosomal RNA". It matches the Rfam family "Bacterial small subunit ribosomal RNA", at positions 354 to 796 of the family's 1533-position model. The record is from RNAcentral.
GUGGGGAAUAUUGGACAAUGGGCGCAAGCCUGAUCCAGCCAUGCCGCGUGAGUGAUGAAGGCCUUAGGGUUGUAAAGCUCUUUCGUCAGGGAAGAUAAUGACGGUACCUGAAGAAGAAGCCCCGGCUAACUUCGUGCCAGCAGCCGCGGUAAUACGAAGGGGGCUAGCGUUGCUCGGAAUCACUGGGCGUAAAGCGCACGUAGGCGGCUUUCUAAGUCAGGGGUGAAAUCCUGGAGCUCAACUCCAGAACUGCCUUUGAUACUGGAGAGCUUGAGUUCGGGAGAGGGGAGUGGAACUGCGAGUGUAGAGGUGAAAUUCGUAGAUAUUCGCAAGAACACCAGUGGCGAAGGCGGCUCACUGGCCCGAUACUGACGCUGAGGUGCGAAAGCGUGGGGAGCAAACAGGAUUAGAAACCCUGGUAGUCC